AAUCCAGGGUCUUCUACGACCUAUUCCGAACUUGCACUCCGGACUAUCUGGACU
Molecule: transfer RNA, 54 nt
Filed under: Bradypodion sp. matschiei
Lineage: Eukaryota; Metazoa; Chordata; Lepidosauria; Squamata; Chamaeleonidae
Description: partial transfer RNA-Cys
Source: RNAcentral